GAUGAAGAACGCAGUGAAAUGCGAUAAGUAAUGUGAAUUGCAGAAUUCAGUGAAUCAUCGAAUCUUUGAACGCACCUUGCACCCUUUGGUAUUCCGAAGGGUAUGCUCGUUUGAGUGUCAUUGUACUCUCACACUUCUAAUUCCUUUCGGGAUUGGGAGCGGUGGACUUGGGUGUUGCUGCUUUAGUUGUGGCUCACCUCAAAUAAGUUAGUGCAACUCUUGGUUGGACAUAGUACGGCGUGAUAAGUGUCUUCGCCGGCGCCUCUGUAAGGAGGGUGGCCGAUCGGGAGCUCUGUGCUUCAAACCGUCUUCGGACAAUCUUUGACAACUUGACCUCAAAUCGAGUAGGACUACCCGCUGAACUUAAGCAUAUCAUAAGCGGAGGA
RNAcentral lists this unclassified non-coding RNA (386 nucleotides) under soil metagenome. Its description in RNAcentral is "partial contains 5.8S ribosomal RNA, internal transcribed spacer 2, and large subunit ribosomal RNA". The stretch from base 1 to 120 matches the Rfam family "5.8S ribosomal RNA", at positions 35 to 154 of the family's 154-position model. The record is from RNAcentral.